AUUGAACGCUGGCGGCAGGCCUAACACAUGCAAGUCGAACGGUAGCACAGAGAGCUUGCUCUCGGGUGACGAGUGGCGGACGGGUGAGUAAUGUCUGGGAAACUGCCUGAUGGAGGGGGAUAACUACUGGAAACGGUAGCUAAUACCGCAUAACGUCGCAAGACCAAAGAGGGGGGACCUUCGGGCCGUCCUUGCCAUCAGAUGUACCCAGAUGGGAUUAGCUAGUAGGG
Molecule: ribosomal RNA, 230 nt
Filed under: uncultured bacterium
Lineage: Bacteria
Description: partial 16S ribosomal RNA
Rfam family: Bacterial small subunit ribosomal RNA
Source: RNAcentral